Molecule: transfer-messenger RNA, 377 nt
Filed under: Comamonas granuli
Lineage: Bacteria; Pseudomonadati; Pseudomonadota; Betaproteobacteria; Burkholderiales; Comamonadaceae
Also listed under: 1 other name
Description: Giesbergeria granuli Standard tmRNA
Rfam family: transfer-messenger RNA
About the family: Bacterial tmRNA, also known as 10Sa RNA or SsrA, is named for its dual tRNA and mRNA-like properties. Its role is to liberate the mRNA from a stalled ribosome.
Source: RNAcentral
GGGGCUGUCCUGGUUUCGACGUGGGUUCGGAAUCGGCGCGGUGCAUGUCGAGCUUGAGUGACGCUCGUAAAUCUCCAUUCAAAAAAGUAACUGCAAACGACGAACGUUUCGCACUCGCCGCUUAAUCCGGUGAGCCUUGCAACAGCACGCUGAUGGGCUGGGCAAGGGGGUAGCAAUACCUCCCGGCUGCAAGGGAAUUCACAUCAGCUGGCUCCCUGCCGGGCACCUUGGCAGGAAGCGAGAUCCAAGGGUGCUGGCUGGCGGUAUAGCGUGUGUCUGCGCGAUACCGGCGGCGAGAUCCAAACCAGAACACUAAACAUGUAGAUCUGCCCGAAGAAGGCUUGCGGACGCGGGUUCAAUUCCCGCCAGCUCCACCA